RNAcentral lists this ribosomal RNA (253 nucleotides) under uncultured bacterium. Its description in RNAcentral is "partial 16S ribosomal RNA". It matches the Rfam family "Bacterial small subunit ribosomal RNA", at positions 524 to 776 of the family's 1533-position model. The record is from RNAcentral.
UACGGAGGGGGCUAGCGUUGUUCGGAAUUACUGGGCGUAAAGCGCACGUAGGCGGACUGGAAAGUCAGAGGUGAAAUCCCAGGGCUCAACCUUGGAACUGCCUUUGAAACUAUCAGUCUGGAGUUCGAGAGAGGUGAGUGGAAUUCCGAGUGUAGAGGUGAAAUUCGUAGAUAUUCGGAGGAACACCAGUGGCGAAGGCGACUCACUGGCUCGAUACUGACGCUGAGGUGCGAAAGCGUGGGGAGCAAACAGG